This 690-nucleotide ribosomal RNA is filed under the name uncultured Alphaproteobacteria bacterium. Its description in RNAcentral is "bacterial SSU rRNA". It matches the Rfam family "Bacterial small subunit ribosomal RNA", at positions 8 to 748 of the family's 1533-position model. The record is from RNAcentral. Lineage: Bacteria; Pseudomonadati; Pseudomonadota; Alphaproteobacteria.
AGAGUUGUAUCCUGGCUCAGAAUUAACGCUAGCGAUACACCUAACACAUGCAAGUUGAACGUAUAUACAUAUUUGUAUAUAAGUAGCGAACGGGUGCGUAACACGUGAGAAUCUGCCUAUAGUUUGUGGUGAAAUACUGCAGAAUCUUCUUUUUCUAGAGAUUCAGAUAUAUAUCGAUUAUAGAUGAGCUUGCGGGGUAUUAGGUUGUUGGUGUGGUAACGGCGCACCAAGCCCAAGAUGCCUAGCCGGUUUGAGAGAACGAUCGGCCACACUGGGACUGAGACACGGCCCAGACGCUUACGAGCGGCAGCAGUGGGGAAUAUUGGACAAUGGGCGCAAGCCUGAUCCAGUGAUAUCGCUUUAGAGAUGAAGGCGACAUACGCUGUAAACCUAAUGAAUUAUAUAUAGAUUAUGACCGUGUAUAAUUUAGAAGUCCCGGCUAAUCUCGUGCCAGCAGCCGCGGUAAUACGAGAGGGGCGAGCGUUAUUCAAAAUGAUUGGGCGUAAAGCGCACGUAGGUGGUAAUAUGUAUCAGUAAAUAUUCAGGCCAUAAGUCUUGACGAUAUUUAUUAUAUACAUAUUGCUUGAGGGUGUAAGAGGAGCAUGGAAUUCCCUAGGAAGCGGUAGAAUGUGUUGAUCUAGGGAGGAACACCUAUAGCGAAAGCAGUGCUCUAGUACAUUCCUGACAUUG